This 585-nucleotide ribosomal RNA is filed under the name uncultured bacterium. RNAcentral's name for it is "bacterial SSU rRNA". It matches the Rfam family "Bacterial small subunit ribosomal RNA", at positions 338 to 917 of the family's 1533-position model. The record is from RNAcentral.
CCUACGGGAGGCAGCAGUGGGGAAUUGUUCACAAUGGGCGCAAGCCUGAUGACGCAACGCCGCGUGGGGGAUGAAGGUCUUCGGAUCGUAAACCCCUGUCGAAUGGGACGAAUAGCUUCCGGAUUAAUACCCCGGAGGAAUGACGGUACCGUUAAAGGAAGCCACGGCUAACUCUGUGCCAGCAGCCGCGGUAAUACAGAGGUGGCAAGCGUUGUUCGGAAUUACUGGGCGUAAAGGGCGCGUAGGCGGCCAUCUAAGUCAGACGUGAAAUCCCCCGGCUCAACCUGGGAACUGCGUCUGAUACUGGAAGGCUAGAGUUUGGGAGAGGGAUGUAGAAUUCCAGGUGUAGCGGUGAAAUGCGUAGAUAUCUGGAGGAAUACCGGUGGCGAAGGCGGCAUCCUGGACCAAUACUGACGCUGAGGCGCGAAAGCUAGGGGAGCAAACGGGAUUAGAUACCCCGGUAUCCUAGCCCUAAACGAUGAAUACUUGGUGUGGCGGGUUAUCGAUCCCUGCCGUGCCGAAGCUAACGCAUUAAGNUUCCGCNGGGGAAUCGGUCGCAGGCUGAAACUCGAAAGGAUUGACCGG